GACGAACGCUUUCGGCUUUCUUAACACAUGCAAGUCGAACGGAAAGGCCCUGCUUUUGUGGGGUGCUCGAGUGGCGAACGGGUGAGUAACACGUGAGUAACCUGCCCUUGACUUUGGGAUAACUUCAGGAAACUGGGGCUAAUACCGGAUAGGAGCUCCUGCUGCAUGGUGGGGGUUGGAAAGUUUCGGCGGUUGGGGAUGGACUCGCGGCUUAUCAGCUUGUUGGUGGGGUAGUGGCUUACCAAGGCUUUGACGGGUAGCCGGCCUGAGAGGGUGACCGGCCACAUUGGGACUGAGAUACGGCCCAGACUCCUACGGGAGGCAGCAGUGGGGAAUAUUGCACAAUGGGCGGAAGCCUGAUGCAGCAACGCCGCGUGCGGGAGGAAGGCCUUCGGGUUGUAAACCGCUUUCGCCUGUGACGAAGCGUGAGUGACGGUAAUGGGUAAAGAAGCAACGGCUAACUACGUG
RNAcentral lists this ribosomal RNA (468 nucleotides) under uncultured bacterium. RNAcentral's name for it is "partial 16S ribosomal RNA". It matches the Rfam family "Bacterial small subunit ribosomal RNA", at positions 28 to 507 of the family's 1533-position model. The record is from RNAcentral.